RNAcentral lists this ribosomal RNA (458 nucleotides) under uncultured bacterium. RNAcentral describes it as "partial 16S ribosomal RNA". It matches the Rfam family "Bacterial small subunit ribosomal RNA", at positions 338 to 795 of the family's 1533-position model. The record is from RNAcentral.
CCUACGGGAGGCAGCAGUGAGGAAUAUUGGUCAAUGGGCGAGAGCCUGAACCAGCCAAGUCGCGUGAGGGAGUACUGCCCUAUGGGUUGUAAACCUCUUUUGUCGGGGAGCAAAAGCCGGACGUGUCCGGCUGUGAGCGUACCCGAAGAAAAAGCAUCGGCUAACUCCGUGCCAGCAGCCGCGGGAAUACGGAGGAUGAGAGCGUUAUCCGGAUUUAUUGGGUGUAAAGGGUGCGCAGGCGGAUUUUUAAGUCAGCGGGAAAAUCGUGGGGCUCAACCCCAUCCAGCCGUUGAAACUGGGGAUCUAGAGUGUGCGAGAGGUAUGCGGAAUGCGUGGUGUAGCGGUGAAAUGCAUAGAUAUCACGCAGAACCCCGAUUGCGAAGGCAGCAUACCGGUGCACAACUGACGCUCAGGCACGAAAGCGUGGGUAUCGAACAGGAUUAGAUACCCUUGUAGUC